Small nucleolar RNA from Phyllostomus discolor (pale spear-nosed bat), 72 nucleotides. RefSeq annotates it as small nucleolar RNA SNORD113/SNORD114 family. Lineage: Eukaryota; Metazoa; Chordata; Mammalia; Chiroptera; Phyllostomidae. The transcript has a single exon. The record is from RefSeq and is a predicted model, not a curated record.
UGGACGAAUGAUGACGACGGGUGGCGUGUGAGUCGUGGACAAUGAGUGCUGUGUCAGGAAUGCUGGGUCCGA